UCCAUGGACAAGAAGCCAAAAAUACUUGGUUGAAGCUUUCCUGUCUCUCCUUGGGGACCCGCUGUAGAGUUCAGGUCCCUCCCUGAAUCAUGUCACCAGUCUUGUGGAGAUAGUGCAUCAGUUACAUGAAACUGUCAUCCCCACAAGGUACCCAGGGUGAAACACCACAUUUUGUCACCAGUAAGUACGGCCAUUGGUACUGAAAAAGCGAGAUGGGGAUUGGGAGCAGUGACUUGGGAGAGCCGGACUGGAACACCUGCAUAUGAAAGAUGUUAGAAUUCUCCCCACUGGACUAGUAAGGUUGAGGCAAACCUUAUAAAAUAGCGCCAGAAAACUGGGAUAGAAACCAGAUUCCACUACUGCCCCAUGAAAUGUGUUUUAAUGUUCUGAAUGUCCUUCUCAUUUUUCUUCUCCUCUAUAAAAUCCAUUCCCUCCGAAGGUUAACAAACAUAUAUACUGUCUCUGUGGAGAUUACAUAAACGUCCUCUGUGGAUGCACAUAGAACUAAUGUAGCAGCCUCUAAAGUUAACUGUAUACUUUAUAGUGGUAGAUUUAUACCUCUCCAAGAAUUGCUAUGAACUUCUUUCUGUGGUAUUAUAAAAGGAAUAAUUUGCUCGAAAUUUCUUGAUGCACCUGUCCAUUUAAAUAAUCAUCCUAUUUUAGGCUCACAUGUGAGUUUUGGAUUUUUGAAGUGAAGUCUUUUAAAAUGUACAAAACCUAACAUUUCUGCUGUGUUUCUGAAAGAUUAAAGAAAAAUUCCAUUAAGAAAGACUAGGAGAAUUCAACUGUGUCUUCUCAUGUGUUGCUAGCAUUUUCCAUCCCAGAUAGAAAAUAUGCCAAGGUGCAUUGUGUAUUAAUCAAUCAAAAUGCAAAAGUAACAGCACAAUUCACCAUCACAACCUCACAACCAAGAAUAUUCCUCAAGGGAGCUUUCAUUGAAUUGCCUGGGUUUUGACACAGAGUAACCCAGCUGUCCAGCUAUUGAUUUGGGCAUAAUUAUCUUCUGCUUAGUAAUUAUUUACAUAUGCAUUGGAAUUGUGUCACUGUGCUUUUCAGUGGGAUUAAGAGAAAUAGUGACAGCAUAAUACUAUUUGAGGGCAAACUCUAUGGUUUCUAAAGAUACGAAUCCAUUGUUAGGCCUUUUAGUGGACAGAAUUUUUCAUUGGACAUAGUCCCACCCAGAGAAACCAGGAAAAGGGCUUCUGGGCAUUUGAGUCUGGAUUUUAUUUUUUGCAGUCCAUGGUUGUGCAUCCUGUCCUUUAGACACCUGAUCUGGGAACCUCCAUAUACCACAGGUGCAGCCCUUAAAAAAAAAAAUAUUUUGCACUCUAUGAAAUUUGUAUUAUUUGGUAAUGAUUGUGGCUUGGUCCAAUGAUGCUUACCUUUUGAAAUGAUGAUUACUCUUUAUGCAAGAAAAGUAGAAAACAGUAUUUAAACUGAUUGAUCCUAAACAUACAGGCUAAAGUCAGGGUUUCCAAUGUGAGUAACUCAUUGGGAUGGUACUAAAAGAUGCCUUCUUCUAACUCUCCCUACUCCUGUGGAUAACUCUGUGGGUAGGACUGACAUUUAGAGGUCUACAGUACCCACCAUUGAUGUUAAGGUAUGUGAUCAAUUAAUUUUUAAUUUUGGCCAAAUUAAUUUCUGUCAUAACAUGGACUAACAUUUUAUACUUAAUUCAAAGCUAACUUCAUUCAGAAAGUUGUGGCUGGUGUUGUGUCAUUUGAGGAACAGAAGUUUACUCUAAAGCGGUAUUUUCACAUACCCAUGAUGCUCAGAAUGGUCAUUUUCUAGUGUUUAUAUAAUGGUAAGGGUAUUGCAGAUUUGUUUCUAACUUGCUUUUAAAUGACUGAGAUACUUAGCAAGGUGUCUUUUUAACUAACUUUGAUGUUUUAAUAUAGAAUCAGAUUUUCACAAGAGUUGAUAUUAGACCUCAAUUCCAGGAUGUAAAUAAUUUGCAUUUUCUGUGAGUAUGCCAUUUUGUUUAGAAUCAUGUUUACAAAAUUUGUACUAGUCACACACUGCUGAAGCAAUGAGCAAAACAUGGAAAACAUGUAAUGCGCUUAAAAAAACAAAUUGAGAGGAUACUGAACUGUGUCUGGAGGCUCCUGAAACCCUUCCCACAGUUGCUCAUGAAUAAGAGGAAAAGAGAUGAAGAUUUCCUUCAGACCAGCCUAAUCUAAAUAUGAAACUCCCUCCACUUCCUUCUGGUCCCAUUUAUCUCUCUGCUCUUGUUCAGUGGAAUUCCUUUCAUUAUCUAGUUAAUGUAGACAUGUAUUCAGUCUUCACCAUUCAUCUUUUGAACUUGUUUGCAUCAGUGUUGUCCAUCAUUGAUUAAAAGAUCCUAGACUGCAGGGUCAAGUUCUCUUAUACUCUCUUUCUAAAGUGCUUAUUACCAUCCCAUGCUAAGUAGAUAAUGAAUGCAAGUGGUCAAGGUGCUUUUAUUUACAUUUCCCAUAACUUCUGGUGGGAAAAUGUUUUCCUAUAUUUCCUUGCCAGCUGAUGCACCUUUAUAACUAUGGUGAGGCUUGGGAUGGAGGGGGAUGGGAUAUGGUAUAGGGUAGGGUUGGGACUGGAGAGCAAUUUAAGGUGGUGGAGAGGAGCUUGUGCCCUGGAAUCAGACAGACCCAGGGGAAUAUUCACUUCACAACUUAAACUCUCUUUCUGGUCUUCGAUCAUCCAAGCCCACAUCUCUUCAUUUGUGAAACAGGAGUAUAAUACCUAUGUUCUAGGCUGAUUUGUGUUCCCUACAAAAUUCAUAUGUUGCAGUCCUAACCCUGGAGCUAGGAACUUGACUAGAUUUGGAGACGGGGUGUUUAACUGUGGCGCUGGAGUUAAAACAAGGCACUAGAAUGAACCCUAAACUAGUAUGAAUGAUGACCUUAUAAGAAGAGGAAAUUUAGACACAGUCAUGGCUGUUGUGAAGACACAGGGAGGAGAUGCCCAUCUACAAACCAAAGAGAGAGCCUUCCCUUACAGCCCUCUGUGGGAACCAACCUUGACCUCAGAAGUCAAGGCUCCAGAACUGCAAGGCAAUUAAUGCUGGGCAAUGCCAAUGCGAACAAGUUCAAAAGGAACAUGAUGAGACAAUUUCUGUGGUUUAGGCCAUCUGGUCUGUAAUAUUUUGUAAUUGCAGCCCUAUCAAACUAAUAUAACCUACUUCAUGGUAUCAUUUUAAUUAGAUAGGAUCCUGUUUAUAAAGUACUUACCAGGGUGAAUGAUGUAUAAUAGACGCUCAAUAGGUAGUAGUUUAAUAAAAUGGUCAGAGGUGAGAAAAGAGAACAAAAGUGGAAACACUUAGAAAUUGCAUUCUUAAGGCCUACAUGAGCAUGGAGGUUGAUUUGGAAGACAAUACAAAGGAGUUUCUUUUUGUUUAAAUUAGGCCCCAUGCGAACUUGUGAGCAUUUAUGGAUCGACAGUAUUCAAUUGUGUUUUUCUUUGCAGUUGUCCCUUUGGGAUGAUUAAUGAGCCCCAAGUACUAACAGAUGAGCCUCACAGGAGGAUUUAUGAUCUUGAACCAUAGAUUCAGAUGGUGUCUGCAUGUUGAAUGCUUGGUAAAAAUAUGGAAGUAGUGGUGUCCCAAUCUAACUGGUUUCAUUGGAUUGGUUUCACACUUCAUUGCCUUCUGGCAAAGAAUAUUGUGAGCCCAAAUAAUUUUUUAAAUGGCCAGCAUUAAAAUGAGGCCUCCUGCUAUUCACUGAAGCUCUUCUCUAAGUAACCAGAAGUUACUGCAUUUAUGUGGAUUGAAAGCAUAUUUUAAGCAUCACUUAAAUAUUUUAAAUAUCAGUUCUACAUACCAAACAUCAGUCCUGCAAACCUUUCCCCUGUUAACAUUAGUAAGAGUUCUUUUAUUUAUUUGCAAGAUGAAAAAACAUUAGAUUCUUUUUUCUUCGUUUGUACCUCCAAAGAGUAAUUUCCUUUCAAUGUGAAGUUUAUUGAAAUUGUUUAAGUUAGAGUAAUUGCUUCUAAAAUGCCUGAGUUUCUCAUAAGAAUGUCAGGGUCGGCACAUUUCUUAAGAUAUUAGAUUUCUUUAACUACCUUGCCCUUCAACUGUGUUGAUGCGGAUGUUUUAUUAAACACUAAUGGGUCUCCUCAAGUCAUAGCAGCAGAAGUUUAGGGAAGGUCAUUUCGGUGGGGAGGUUAUAUUCAUGAGACAGUCUCCCCCUCCACACACACACCUGUAGUCUUAACCCUUAGCAAAUAGAUUCUCUAAAAGACUAGUCGGAUUUUUUUGUUUUGUUCUGCUUGGUUUUGUUUUAAGGUAAUUUUGUCAAAAAGGCUCUCCUGGCCCAGAAAGGAGACAUUGGCUAGCCCUGAGGAAAGUGACAGACUCCACAGCUGGACUAGAACUCUAGCUUACAUACCAUGAGUCACAAAGGAAGUAUAUAAGUGAUAAUAGCAAGGACUCAGGCUUACCAACUGUUGAUAUCCAGCAAAGUGGGGAGAGUGGUGAGCCUUUCUGACCGGGUAUACACUUCACAGAAGUUUCCAGGGCUGCUCUCAGUUCCAAGAAGGGGUAGUAAAAACUCUGCCUACUCUGUUUCCAGCGGCCACCCUCUUUCCCUGAAGUAUUUCAGAGGCCUUGUAUCUGGCCUCACUCUCUUGACUAACUCCUACCCUCUCCUUCUCU
This 4627-nucleotide long non-coding RNA is filed under the name Sus scrofa (pig). RNAcentral's name for it is "lncRNA (ENSSSCG00055010196.1)". Lineage: Eukaryota; Metazoa; Chordata; Mammalia; Artiodactyla; Suidae. The record is from RNAcentral.